GACGAACGCUGGCGGCGUGCUUAACACAUGCAAGUCGAACGGAAAGGCCCUGCUUUUGUGGGGUGCUCGAGUGGCGAACGGGUGAGUAACACGUGAGUAACCUGCCCUUGACUUUGGGAUAACUUCAGGAAACUGGGGCUAAUACCGGAUAGGAGCUCCUGCUGCAUGGUGGGGGUUGGAAAGUUUCGGCGGUUGGGGAUGGACUCGCGGCUUAUCAGCUUGUUGGUGGGGUAGUGGCUUACCAAGGCUUUGACGGGUAGCCGGCCUGAGAGGGUGACCGGCCACAUUGGGACUGAGAUACGGCCCAGACUCCUACGGGAGGCAGCAGUGGGGAAUAUUGCACAAUGGGCGGAAGCCUGAAGCAGCAACGCCGCGUGCGGGAUGACGGCCUUCGGGUUGUAAACCGCUUUCGCCUGUGACGAAGCGUGAGUGACGGUAAUGGGUAAAGAAGCACCGGCUAACUACGU
This 467-nucleotide ribosomal RNA is filed under the name uncultured bacterium. RNAcentral's name for it is "partial 16S ribosomal RNA". It matches the Rfam family "Bacterial small subunit ribosomal RNA", at positions 28 to 506 of the family's 1533-position model. The record is from RNAcentral.